RNAcentral lists this ribosomal RNA (253 nucleotides) under uncultured bacterium. RNAcentral describes it as "partial 16S ribosomal RNA". It matches the Rfam family "Bacterial small subunit ribosomal RNA", at positions 524 to 776 of the family's 1533-position model. The record is from RNAcentral.
UACGAGGGGGGCUAGCGUUGCUCGGAAUUACUGGGCGUAAAGCGCACGUAGGCGGCUUUCUAAGUCGGGGGUGAAAUCCUGGAGCUCAACUCCAGAACUGCCUUCGAUACUGGAAAGCUCGAGUCCGGGAGAGGUGAGUGGAACUGCGAGUGUAGAGGUGAAAUUCGUAGAUAUUCGGAAGAACACCAGUGGCGAAGGCGGCUCACUGGCCCGGUACUGACGCUGAGGUGCGAAAGCGUGGGGAGCAAACAGG